GAAGGAGUGUGGAUGGUGUGUGGCUGGCUGAGGGAGCUGCAGGACCUUGGAUGAGGUAAUCCUGCCAGAAGUUGGGGAGAGUGAGAAGGAGCCCUGAGCUUGUUGCGGGGACUCCAUCAGGACAAGACCCUGAGGAGGGCUGAGUCAACGAAGACCCAUUGCAAAUAGGUAGAGAAAGAAUGCAGGCACAUGCACUGGCCAGGUGACACUUGUGAGAGAUUGGGGAAGCAGAAUCACAGAGCUUGGGUGAACUGUUCAAGUUUGUGGCAGAGGUGGGAAGAGGACAUGGGACUCCCAACCUACGGUCCAUGUACACAUACAUGUAAAUCCUCAGAAACAUUAGUUUGACUGGCAGCCGGGAUAAUUCCCUGUAAGAGUUAAGUUUAAGA
Long non-coding RNA from Mauremys mutica (yellowpond turtle), 389 nucleotides. RefSeq lists it as uncharacterized. The transcript has 3 exons. The record is from RefSeq and is a predicted model, not a curated record. NCBI's taxonomy places the organism in Eukaryota, Metazoa, Chordata, Testudines, Geoemydidae.